RNAcentral lists this ribosomal RNA (535 nucleotides) under Alternaria alternata. RNAcentral describes it as "eukaryotic LSU rRNA". The stretch from base 169 to 322 matches the Rfam family "5.8S ribosomal RNA". The record is from RNAcentral. Lineage: Eukaryota; Fungi; Ascomycota; Dothideomycetes; Pleosporales; Pleosporaceae.
UUACACAAAUAUGAAGGCGGGCUGGAACCUCUCGGGGUUACAGCCUUGCUGAAUUAUUCACCCUUGUCUUUUGCGUACUUCUUGUUUCCUUGGUGGGUUCGCCCACCACUAGGACAAACAUAAACCUUUUGUAAUUGCAAUCAGCGUCAGUAACAAAUUAAUAAUUACAACUUUCAACAACGGAUCUCUUGGUUCUGGCAUCGAUGAAGAACGCAGCGAAAUGCGAUAAGUAGUGUGAAUUGCAGAAUUCAGUGAAUCAUCGAAUCUUUGAACGCACAUUGCGCCCUUUGGUAUUCCAAAGGGCAUGCCUGUUCGAGCGUCAUUUGUACCCUCAAGCUUUGCUUGGUGUUGGGCGUCUUGUCUCUAGCUUUGCUGGAGACUCGCCUUAAAGUAAUUGGCAGCCGGCCUACUGGUUUCGGAGCGCAGCACAAGUCGCACUCUCUAUCAGCAAAGGUCUAGCAUCCAUUAAGCCUUUUUUUCAACUUUUGACCUCGGAUCAGGUAGGGAUACCCGCUGAACUUAAGCAUAUCAAUAG